This is a long non-coding RNA of Monodelphis domestica (gray short-tailed opossum), 732 nucleotides long. RefSeq lists it as uncharacterized. The record is from RefSeq and is a predicted model, not a curated record. NCBI's taxonomy places the organism in Eukaryota, Metazoa, Chordata, Mammalia, Didelphimorphia, Didelphidae.
AUCAUUUAACAUGCUCAAAGAAUAGCUCAUCCUUCUUUCCUAGCAAUCCUCUCUCCCCUCUUUCCAAUAUCCUGGUUUACUUUGAUCUCAGCAUUAUCAUUCCGGUUAGCAAGGCCCGAGGUCUUUAUGGAUGAAAAAAAACUGGAGAAUAUAGUCAGUGGACAACCAUCAGUCAUAUAUGGAAACUCAUAGAAAACAGACGAGGUACUUCUGGACUAGAGAAGUGCAGACGUCCCAUUUCUUUUAAAUGAAGUAAAUAGAAUCUUAAGAAGGAAUCACUGAAGCUGAGCAUGGUGCUCUGCACAUGUAAUCCUUUCUCCUAUGGAAACUAAAGGAGGUGAAUAACUACCUCAGGAGUUCUGAGCUUCGAUGAUAGCUUUCUUUGAUGGGAAAGAAAACUGAGGAAAAGCUGACUGCAUGGAGGAAUCAAUGCAAAAUGGAAGCAUGGAAAUUUGAAGCCAUUAUUCACUUGGGGCUAGUGCCCUACUCAUGGGAAUGACCAAUACACACUCUUUGAUGAUGAGCAGAAGGAGGAUGACAAUAAUGGUCUAUCUCAGGAAUAGCUAUUGAGAAGGAAGGAGGUGGCAUAUAUAUAAUGGAUCUGAAGGCCUUCAGAACAAAGAUCCUGAAAACACAGCUUUUAAUAGCAUUGCUGGAAUGGAGUGUUUUAUACCAGGAACAUGAAGGAGAUCAAAUACAAAGCAACUUGGAAUAAAAGGGGAUUGAACUAUC